This 1271-nucleotide long non-coding RNA is filed under the name Junco hyemalis (dark-eyed junco). RNAcentral describes it as "lncRNA (ENSJHYG00000012250.1)". The record is from RNAcentral. Lineage: Eukaryota; Metazoa; Chordata; Aves; Passeriformes; Passerellidae.
CCAAUCCUUAACAACCAUUUCUGGAAGCAAAUUCCUCCUGAAUUCCAACCUGAACCUCCUCUGGCACAGCUUGAAGCUGUGUCCUCUCACCCUGGUUGCCUGGGAGAAGAACCCUCACCUUGCUAAAACAUUCUUUUAGCUGGUUGUAAAGAGUGAUAAGGUUUCCCCUGAGCCUCUCUUCUCCAGACUAAACAGCCUCAGUUCCCUCAGCUUCUCCUCAUAUGAAUUACUCUCUAGAUCCUAAAAAGAAAUGUGAGGUUUCACUGGAAGUCAGUGGUACUUAGGCUCUAAAGUUACUUACAUGCAUUUAAAGCUAUAUUCAGUGAUUUGACAAGCAAUUUAUGGAUAAACUAUUAUUUCUAAGCUAAACAGAAUUUCAGGCUAAUUUUAAGAUUAUUCUUAAGUGUCCCUAAAUCUAAUAAGAUAGAUAAGUUCAUCAUUGCACCUAUAAUUAUCCUAAUAUAUUUACAUGUCCUUUUAACACCUGUUUUAGGCUGUUUGCAGUGUUCUUAAUAAAAAGUUAGAUAUGAUCUGUGUACUGUCAGAACGACUCCACACCAUGCACGCCUAUGUAUAUAUAUACACACAUCAUUCCAUUUCACUAACUGCUUUUACUGUUGUGUAAAAAAGCUUCUUUACUUUCUAGAAAUGGAAUCUGUUCUCAUUCUUCACAGGAAUGACUACCUCUCCCUCCUAGAAAAAUGGUGGAACUGGUAACCCAGAGCUUGCUUGGGAUGUGGAUAUCUGUUAAAGGCCUUCCUUUAAAUCAGGGACCUGAUUUCAGAUCUGCCUCCUAUGGAAAUAUACCCACAACAAAACUCCUGAAUAUAUUGCAGUGGGCAUCUCAGUCUCUUCUGCAACAGCCCCACACACUGCAACAGGUAUGUGACCACAAAUCUGCCUCUUUCAAGAAGCCUAUUUGAAUAGUCCCAGCCCAAAAAGGUAUCCCAAUACCCUGUGAUCAGCCUGUUCAGGGGCGUGUUGUUUGAGAACUGGAACUGCUGAAGAUGUUGAGGGCUGAUGCUGCACAAAGCUCUGCUUGGCCCAGAGCAGAUGGACUCACUAUGGAUGCAUUCAGGAGCCUGGAUUGGCACUGUCGUUGCCUGCAGCCUGUCUCACCUGCUGUGAACAUGUUGGACCCUGCUACAAGCCCCUGUGCAGGACAUGGGGAAAAUCUGGUUUUGUGGUCAAUUAAAAGCAUUAACUUUAUCUAGUUUCUGAGGAGAAGGCAGAAAGAUGCAGUAGAAAAUAAAAAUAAAUUCACAUUGACA